Molecule: ribosomal RNA, 253 nt
Filed under: uncultured bacterium
Lineage: Bacteria
Description: partial 16S ribosomal RNA
Rfam family: Bacterial small subunit ribosomal RNA
Source: RNAcentral
UACGUAGGGGGCUAGCGUUGUCCGGAAUCAUUGGGCGUAAAGAGCGUGUAGGCGGCUCGGUAAGUCCGCUGUGAAAGUCCAGGGCUCAACCCUGGAAUGCCAGUGGAAACUGUCGAGCUAGAGUCCGGAAGAGGCGAGUGGAAUUCCUGGUGUAGCGGUGAAAUGCGCAGAUAUCAGGAGGAACACCAAUGGCGAAGGCAGCUCGCUGGGACGGUACUGACGCUGAGACGUGAAAGCGUGGGGAGCAAACAGG